Molecule: ribosomal RNA, 1235 nt
Filed under: metagenome
Description: bacterial LSU rRNA
Rfam family: Bacterial large subunit ribosomal RNA
Source: RNAcentral
UGAAUACGAGAUGCUACGGCGUCGAAGCAGUCUAUGUCAUACUUCCAAGAAAAGCUUGCACUGUCAUAAACAAAUAAUGCCUGUACCAUAACCGACACAGGUGGGUAGGUAGAGUAUACUAAGGGGCGCGGGAUAACUCUCUCUAAGGAACUCGGCAAAAUGACUCCGUAACUUCGGGAGAAGGAGUGCCUUAUUUUAUAAGGUUGCAAUAACAAGACCCAAGCAACUGUUUACCAAAAACACAGGUCUCCGCUAAGUCGUAAGACGAUGUAUGGGGGCUGACGCCUGCCCAGUGCCAGAAGGUUAAAGAAGUUGGUUAGCGCAAGCGAAGCUGAUAACUGAAGCCCUGGUGAACGGCGGCCGUAACUAUAACGGUCCUAAGGUAGCGAAAUUCCUUGUCGGGUAAGUUCCGACCCGCACGAAAGGCGUAAUGAUUUGGGUACUGUCUCAGAGAGGGGCUCGGUGAAAUAGACUUGUCUGUGAAGAUGCGGACUACCUGCACCAGGACAGAAAGACCCUAUGAAGCUUUACUGUAACUUGAAAUUGAAAUUGGACUUUACUUGCGCAGUAUAGGUGGGAGGCGUUGAUAAUAUUCUUGCGGGAAUAUUGGAGCCAUCAGUGAGAUACCACUCUUGUAAUGUUAGAUUUCUAACUUUGUAUCAUUAUCUGGUCAAAGGACAGUUUCAGGCGGGCAGUUUGACUGGGGCGGUCGCCUCCCAAACGGUAACGGAGGCGCACAAAGGUUUCCUCCGAACGGGUAGAAAUCGUAUCUAGAGUGUAAAGGCAUAAGGAAGCUUGACUGUGAGACCUACAAGUCGAGCAGGGACGAAAGUCGGUCUUAGUGAUCUGACGGUGCUGAGUGGAAAGGCCGUCACUCAACGGAUAAAAGUUACUCUAGGAUAACAGGCUGAUCUCCCCCAAGAGUUCACAUCGACGGGGAGGUUUGGCACCUCGAUGUCGGCUCAUCGCAUCCUGGGGCGGUAGUACGUCCCAAGGGUUGGGCUGUUCGCCCAUGAAAGCGGUACGCGAGCUGGGUUCAGAACGUCGUGAGACAGUUCGGUCCAUAUCCGGUGUAGGCGUUAGAAUAUUGAGAGGAGCCUUCUUUAGUACGAGAGGACCGAGAAGGACAUACCUCUGGUGUACCAGUUAUCGUGCCAACGGUAAACGCUGGGUAGCUAUGUAUGGAGUGGAUAACCGCUGAAAGCAUCUAAGUGGGAAGCCCACCUCAAGAUAAG